AACUGCCAAAAAAUUGCGAGGAAAACUAAAAUAAUGAACUGAAAUUAAAGCUAGAUUUGCAUAAGAUUUACAGAGGAAAAUCUAAGCCAGAUAAUAAUGAGCAAAAUGAAAGCAAAACAAUACGAAUAUCGGAAUUAUAUGGUUAUUGACAUAAGGUUUAAAAAUUGAGAAAAAUGAUUUAAAUAGCGAAAGCUAAUCAAUAGAACGACAAGCAAAAUACAAGGAAAACAACAAAAAAAAAUUAAGUUUAUUAGAUGAAGAAAUAAAAUAUAAAUAUAAUAUAUAAAA
Long non-coding RNA from Drosophila nasuta, 288 nucleotides. RefSeq lists it as uncharacterized. The transcript is spliced from 3 exons. The record is from RefSeq and is a predicted model, not a curated record. Lineage: Eukaryota; Metazoa; Arthropoda; Insecta; Diptera; Drosophilidae.